CAGCCGCCGCGGGAAUACGUAGGUCCCGAGCGUUGUCCGGAUUUAUUGGGCGUAAAGCGAGCGCAGGCGGUUAGAUAAGUCUGAAGUUAAAGGCUGUGGCUUAACCAUAGUACGCUUUGGAAACUGUUUAACUUGAGUGCAGAAGGGGAGAGUGGAAUUCCAUGUGUAGCGGUGAAAUGCGUAGAUAUAUGGAGGAACACCGGUGGCGAAAGCGGCUCUCUGGUCUGUAACUGACGCUGAGGCUCGAAAGCGUGGGGAGCAAACAGGAUUAGAUACCCCCGUAGUCCCUGUCUCUUAUACC
Molecule: ribosomal RNA, 301 nt
Filed under: uncultured bacterium
Lineage: Bacteria
Description: partial 16S ribosomal RNA
Rfam family: Bacterial small subunit ribosomal RNA
Source: RNAcentral